GACGAACGCUGGCGGCGUGCUUAACACAUGCAAGUCGAACGGAAAGGCCCUGCUUUUGUGGGGUGCUCGAGUGGCGAACGGGUGAGUAACACGUGAGUAACCUGCCCUUGACUGUGGGAUAACUUCAGGAAACUGGGGCUAAUACCGGAUAGGAGCUCCUGCAGCAUGGUGGGGGUUGGAAAGUUUCGGCGGUUGGGGAUGGACUCGCGGCUUAUCAGCUUGUUGGUGGGGUAGUGGCUUACCAAGGCUUUGACGGGUAGCCGGCCUGGGAGGGUGACCGGCCACCUUGGGACUGAGGUACGGCCCAGACUCCUACGGGAGGCAGCAGUGGAGAAUAUUGCACAAUGGGCGGACGCCUGAUGCAGCAACGCCGCGUGCGGGAUGACGGCCUUCGGGUUGUAAACCGCUUUCGCCUGUGACGAAGCGUGAGUGACGGUAAUGGGUAAAGAAGCACCGGCUAACUACGUG
Molecule: ribosomal RNA, 468 nt
Filed under: uncultured bacterium
Lineage: Bacteria
Description: partial 16S ribosomal RNA
Rfam family: Bacterial small subunit ribosomal RNA
Source: RNAcentral